This 1635-nucleotide ribosomal RNA is filed under the name Triticum aestivum (bread wheat). RNAcentral describes it as "partial small subunit ribosomal RNA". Lineage: Eukaryota; Viridiplantae; Streptophyta; Magnoliopsida; Poales; Poaceae. The record is from RNAcentral.
AUGAAACCCGAUCCUGCUUUUGCUACUUCACCUAUUUGUGUUACUGAUAAGGAUUAUGAAUUCUCUGUUGAUCCUGAAAUUAUUACUUUAGUUGAAUCUGAUCCUUUUUAUGGCCUUGAAUCUGAAACUGUUGUGGCACAUCUUACCAAGUUGAAUGAUAUAGCUACCCUGUUUACUAAUGAUGAGAAAUCUCGCUAUUAUUAUAUCCUUAAGAUAUUUCCAUUCUCAUUAAAGGGUGAUGCUAAGACUUGGUAUAAUUCUCUUACUCCUGGUUGUGUGCGUAGUCCCCAGGAUAUGAUUUAUUACUUCUCUGCUAAAUAUUUCCCUGCUCAUAAGAAACAAGCUGCCUUGCGGGAAAUAUAUAAUUUUGUGCAAAUCAAAGAAGAGAGUCUCCCACAAGCUUGGGGGAGGCUUCUCCGGUUACUUAAUGCUUUGCCUGAUCAUCCUCUCAAGAAAAAUGAAAUACUUGAUAUCUUUUAUAAUGGACUAAGCGAUGCUUCCAAGGACUACUUGGAUAGUUGUGCUGGUUGUGUUUUCAGGGAAAGAAUAGUCGACGAAGCUGAAAUAUUAUUGAAUAAUAUGUUGACUAAUGAAAAUAAUUGGACUCCCCCUGAGCCAAUUCCUGAACCAAUUGAGCCAACUCCUGAGCCUAUUCCUAAACCCACUCUGAAGAAGAGAGGUGUUUUAUUUCUCAGUCCUGAAUAUAUGCAAGAGGCAAAGAAAUCAAUGAAAGAAAAAGGUAUUAAAGCUGAAGAUGUUAAGAAUUUACCUCCUAUUGAAGAAAUACAUGGUCUUAAUAUACCGCCUGAAGAACCACAUUGUCUUGAUAACCCGACACAGGUAGUAAAGGUAAAUUCUCUCUAUAGAUAUGAUAAAGUUGAAAUCCCCUCUACUAAAUUUCAUAGCCCAUGCUUAGAUGAAUUUGAUGACUUUAUGGCUAGACAAGAAAGUUUUAAUGCUUAUGUUGGUAGAGAGUUAAAGAAUAAUGCUUUCGAGAUAGGACGUGUAAGUGAUAAUCUGGCUAGAGUUAAAGAUGAACUUCACCUCGUUAGCAAAUAUGCUUCUAUGGUUGCUACUCAAGCUGAGAAAGUACUCAAAGCUCAAAAUGAUUUGCUUGAUAAAUUAAAUAAUAAGAAUGACUUUGCUGUUAGAGUGGCUACUAGAACUGGUAGAAUGACUCAGGAACCUUUGUAUCCUGAAGGCCACCCUAAGAGAAUCGAGCAAGAUUCUCAGAGAAAUAAUUUAGAGGCACCUAGUUCUUCUAAAAAGAAGAAAAAGAAAAAUGAUAGAACUUUGCAUGCUUCUAGUGAACCUACGGUAGACACACCUGAGAAUCCUACUGAUAUUUCUAUUUCUGAUGCUGAAACACAAUCAGGUGAUGAACAUGAACCUAGUGAUAAUGUUAAUGAUAAUGUUCAUGUUGAUGCUCAACCUAGCCAAAACAACGAUGUAGAGAUCAAACCUGUUGUUGAUCUUGAUAACCCACAAUCAAAGAAUCAACAUUAUCAUAAGAGAGAUUUGUUGCUAGGAAGCACGGUAAAGAAAGAGAACCAUGGGUUCAGAAACCCAUGCCAUUUCCUCCUAAACCAUCCAAGUCAAAGGAUGAUGAGGAUUUUGAGCGCUUUCCUGAAAUGA